UAUGAAGCCAACUUCUCAUUCUUGAAGACGUAAUUUAAUUUGUGUAAUCUGUCUAAAGAAGAAUUGUUAACCAAGAGCCAAAGGAGUUGGCUCAGUCAUUGGCCAAGAAAUUGCUGAGAGCACCAGGUCAAGCUGGAUUUGGAGCAGGUGGUGGUUGUCAGAAGGACAGUAAAAGGUCUCUAGGCCUGUGUGACUAAGGCCUAGUAUCAGCUUAUUAGCACUAGCUAAGUUUUUCAUUUACAGUGAUAAACGUCUUGUCCUUCACCUCCCAAAUGGCAGAAGACCUACUACUGACCCAUCCAGAUUAAAAAUACAUCUUCUCUCCACAGCACUUGGAUGAGCGAUGCUGCCUCUGCCUCAUCUUUGACUGGCAGAAUAAACACUGUUACCACAACAGCCAUGCUGGGAGACAAACUACAAGUAACAACAGAGCGAUGAUGUUAGAAACAGUCAAGUGGAGCAACCGGCUUCGUCACCAUCUGGUCCCCAGAAGAAGGAGGCACAGCAGUGGUCGCACGAUAUACGCCCACUCACAAGCCCACACACACAUACACACACACACACACGCACACACACACACAAACUUUACUCCAAGGCCAAAGCCAAGAUCUUGCUGCAGCACCUACUUGAACACACACACGCCAACACACAUGCUGGCACCAAUAGGAGCAUUCACACGCACACAGAGACAGGCAGGCUUUUCCACCCACAGUUUUUCCAAGGUGCAGUCCAUCUGCUCUCUCCAUAGAUUUAGAUGGCAGAGUCCAAUAUGUGAUACAACUUACCAGCUUGGUGUAUAUUACAGCCCCACCAGGCC
Oreochromis aureus is the source of this 817-nucleotide long non-coding RNA. NCBI's taxonomy places the organism in Eukaryota, Metazoa, Chordata, Actinopteri, Cichliformes, Cichlidae. The record is from Ensembl.